Molecule: long non-coding RNA, 491 nt
Organism: Chlorocebus sabaeus (green monkey)
Lineage: Eukaryota; Metazoa; Chordata; Mammalia; Primates; Cercopithecidae
Source: RefSeq, a predicted model, not a curated record
AUAGAAGAGGAGGCAGCAGCAGACGAGGAUGUCACCACAUUUUCGGAAGGUGGGAAGCAGAGGAAGGAGUGGAGUGAGUUUCACUCUCAGAGGAGGAUUUUGUUCUUCAAUUGUGGAGUGAUCUCUAUCACCAGUGACUAAAGAUGUUGGAGCACAGAAAGCCAUACCGCAAAAUAUGAUGCUUCGGCAUGCUGAGUGCUUUGAAAAUUGAAAGGCCUCGGAAAUAAGCCUCAGUCUAGGGUCUCCCUCUGACCUCCCCCUACCUCCCUUUCUCUCUGAUCCCGUCUCUCCCAAAGCACAGAAUGAAGCUGUUCUCUGAAGUUCCCUUAUCUACCUAGAAACUGGACCCCCAAAGAGGAACACAAUUGCCUUUUAUCCCUUCCCUGAAAUUUCAUUAACCAGAGAAAAUUAAUACUUCUAUCACAGAGGAAGAGACUGAACAUUAAACACCAUAGCUACAGCCCAGACAAACUUCUUCCCAAACCAUUGUU